AGUGAACGCUGGCGGUAGGCCUAACACAUGCAAGUCGAACGGCAGCACAGUAAGAGCUUGCUCUUACGGGUGGCGAGUGGCGGACGGGUGAGGAAUACAUCGGAAUCUACUUUUUCGUGGGGGAUAACGUAGGGAAACUUACGCUAAUACCGCAUACGACCUACGGGUGAAAGCAGGGGAUCUUCGGACCUUGCGCGAUUGAAUGAGCCGAUGUCGGAUUAGCUAGUUGGCGGGGUAAAGGCCCACCAAGGCGACGAUCCGUAGCUGGUCUGAGAGGAUGUCCAGCACAGUGGGGACGGAGCCGCGGUCGUGACUCGUAGUGCACGAAGCAGAGGAGGAAAGUGGACAUUGGGCUGAAGCGGUAGCCAACACUACCGUGUGGUGGAAGAAGGCGUUGGGUUUGUAAAGCCCUUUUGGUGAGAAAAAAAAGCAGCAGGUAACUACGCCGCUGUCUUGACGAUACACAAAGAAGAAGCCCCGGCAACCUUCUCACCAGCGGCAGCUGAAAUAGGCGGAAGCGCACACGUCUAAC
This 532-nucleotide ribosomal RNA is filed under the name uncultured bacterium. RNAcentral's name for it is "partial 16S ribosomal RNA". It matches the Rfam family "Bacterial small subunit ribosomal RNA", at positions 34 to 540 of the family's 1533-position model. The record is from RNAcentral.